Molecule: transfer RNA, 81 nt
Filed under: Actinospineispora eucalypti
Lineage: Bacteria; Bacillati; Actinomycetota; Actinomycetes; Pseudonocardiales; Pseudonocardiaceae
Description: Pseudonocardia eucalypti tRNA-Arg
Source: RNAcentral
GGGUAACGACAACUAAGGGCAGCCUACGAAACCAGCGGACGACGAAUCCGCGGGUUCGGGGUUCGAUCCCCCGGGGGCCCA